This is a non-coding RNA of Heterocephalus glaber (naked mole-rat), 713 nucleotides long. NCBI's taxonomy places the organism in Eukaryota, Metazoa, Chordata, Mammalia, Rodentia, Bathyergidae. The record is from RefSeq and is a predicted model, not a curated record.
GAGAAAUCUGCACUGAUAAAUCAAAGGCAAAAAAGAUGCCAGAUUGUGCCAGGGAGCUCGUGUUGUAGGUCAUCCAUCUGAUCCAGUGCCGUUCUGCACUGGGGACUGCCAUCCGACAGUAGGGCCAUGACCCUGGAGAGUGUAACCAUCAUCAUGGUUAUAUUAGUGUUACUGGCAUUUUAAAAGACAUCCUGGAACAUUCCUUUGGAGCUUCAUAGCAGUCUAAUGAGCAGAACAGGCCCUAAGUAGGUGCUAUUAAUAUUUUCAUCACAAAUGAUGGGACAGAAGCAGAUUUUGAGCAACUUUCUAGAAAAUGCAAAGAUACAAAGCAGAGGAACUGGGAGUCUGUUUUCCAAGUCUAAAAUGCUGACUGCUCUACCUUGCAACCCUUUACUUUCUUCCAGAAUGUGCACUGGUGGACGUUACAGGAAGUGUCUCCAGAUGCCAGAGCACUCUGACAACACAAGACAGCAACAGAUCAACUGUGGCCAGGACCACUGUGCCAAGAAGUCAGCGACAUUCCCUGUUAAGACUCUUACUUUGAUUAGGAGCUACUCCUAGAAAGAAAAUUCUGACACUGAUUUUGAUGGCUGAAGGAUGAUGUAUUAUCUGUGCCCUUAACGGUCCCAAAUUAAGCAAGAUGGGAGACUUCUAAGUUUGAAGAAUCAUCCCAAGGCCACAGUUUUAAUAAAUAAAUCUAAUUCUAAAAUCAA